GGGACCCUUUCUGAGCAUUUUAGUGAAUACCGUUUGUUAAUUGUAUUCUUAUGAAUCUUUAGUUUUCUUUAAAGUGUUUUGUUGACGCUUAAUUGUCUUCAAGUCGUAUUUUCCUAGUCACAUUGGAGUAUUUUUUUCUAGUCCGCUGUCAGUGGUUCUUCGACCUACAUUAGAUUAACUUCUUGAUAUCUUCUAGCUCUCUUAACUCAUUUAAACAAAACGUAAAUAGUGGGAUGUAUUUUACAGUCUAUAAUGUCAAUUGAUGAACAGGACUUAAUGUUAUAAUAACCCCCACAAUUACCGCAUUAUUCUUAGGACAAGAUGCUUUCGAAGUCUUUUAAGUUUAUGAUAUAUAUUU
This 358-nucleotide long non-coding RNA is filed under the name Mytilus galloprovincialis (Mediterranean mussel). The record is from RNAcentral. Lineage: Eukaryota; Metazoa; Mollusca; Bivalvia; Mytilida; Mytilidae.